UGAUGGCGGAGGUAGAGCGGCUUGCCAUGAGAGCUAUUCGAGAAGGAAGGUGUAAGAUGAGGAGGCAUUGGAAACAACUCGGGGGAUUUGGAAAUAAAGAUUCACCAAAAAGGAAGCCGUACAAGGGAGUAAGCCAAGAUGAUUGAGAUUUUCUUUGUAAUUAUUUUGGCACAAAAAAACAAAUGGAAAUAUCUGAAAAGAAUACUAAUAAUCGGUUUAAUAGGCCACUUGAAGGUGCACAUGGAUCGAAAACUUUGGUUCAACAUUAUCACACAGCUGCUGAUCCUGUGACGGGAGAGCUU
Zingiber officinale is the source of this 302-nucleotide long non-coding RNA. RefSeq lists it as uncharacterized. The transcript has 3 exons. The record is from RefSeq and is a predicted model, not a curated record. Lineage: Eukaryota; Viridiplantae; Streptophyta; Magnoliopsida; Zingiberales; Zingiberaceae.